UAACAGUUGGAAACGGCUGCUAAUACCGGAUACGCUCAAAAUGAAACUUUUUUGAGGAAAGAUGGCCUCUGCUUGCAUGCUAUCGCGUAAGGAUGAGUCCGCGUCCCAGUUAGCUUGUUGGCGGGGUAACGGCCCACCAAGGCAACGAUGGGUAGCCGAUUUGAGAGGAUGAUCGGCCACACUGGAACUGAAACACGGCCCAGACUCCUACGGGAGGCAGCAGUGGGGAAUAUUGCGCAAUGGGCGAAAGCCUGACGCAGCGACGCCGCGUGAGGGGAAUGAAGGUUUUCGGAUCGUAAACCUCUGUCAGAAGGGAAGAAACUACAUUGUGCUAAUCAGCAGUGUACUGACGGUACCUUCAAAGGAAGCACCGGCUAACUCCGUGCCAGCCGCCGC
RNAcentral lists this ribosomal RNA (396 nucleotides) under uncultured bacterium. RNAcentral's name for it is "bacterial SSU rRNA". It matches the Rfam family "Bacterial small subunit ribosomal RNA", at positions 144 to 518 of the family's 1533-position model. The record is from RNAcentral.